GGCUUCCACAGAAGUUCUAACAGUUUACCUUUAACCGUUUACAGUUUACCCUUGCGUUUACCAUGAUCCGUUUACAGUAAACGGAAAACAGAAAACGCAUUGAAAACGGUAAGUGGAAAACAGUAAACACCAGUUGGAGCUUGUGUGGAAGUACACGAGCGGCGGACGGCUGAGUAACGCGUAGGAACGUAUCCUAAAGUGAGGAAUAAGCCCGGGAAACCGGGUCUAAUGCCGCAUAAUCUCUUCGGAGGAAAGCAUUUAUGCGCUUUUGGAGCGGCCUGCGUACGAUUAGGUUGUUGGUGAGGUAAAGGCUCACCAAGCCGAUGAUCGUUAGCUGGUCUGAGAGGAUGACCAGCCAGACUGGGACUGAGACACGGCCCAGACCCCUACGGGGGGCAGCAAUUAGGAAUCUUUCGCAAUGGGGGAAACCCUGACGGAGCGACGCCGCGUGCAGGAGGAAGGCCUUCGGGUUGUAAACUGCUUUUAACGGGGACGAUUAUGACGGUACCCGUAGAAUAAGGACCUGCUAACUACGUGCCAGCAGCCGCGGUCAAACGUAGGGUCCAAGCGUUAUCCGGAAUUACUGGGCGUAAAGAGUUGCGUAGGUGGCAUGUAAAGCGAGCAGUGAAAGAUCCCGGCUCAACCGGGAAUACAUUGUUCGAACUCACAAGCUAGAGCACAGUAGAGGUACCUGGAAUUUCUAGUGUAGGAGUGAAAUCCGUAGAUAUUAGAAGGAACACCGAUGGCGUAAGCAGGGUACUGGGCUGUUGCUGACACUAAGGCACGAAAGCGUGGGGAGCGAACGGGAUUAGAUACCCCGGUAGU
RNAcentral lists this ribosomal RNA (825 nucleotides) under uncultured bacterium. RNAcentral's name for it is "bacterial SSU rRNA". It matches the Rfam family "Bacterial small subunit ribosomal RNA", at positions 70 to 794 of the family's 1533-position model. The record is from RNAcentral.